RNAcentral lists this ribosomal RNA (447 nucleotides) under uncultured bacterium. RNAcentral's name for it is "bacterial SSU rRNA". It matches the Rfam family "Bacterial small subunit ribosomal RNA", at positions 330 to 794 of the family's 1533-position model. The record is from RNAcentral.
CCCAGACUCCUACGGGCGGCAGCAGUGGGGCCUCUUGCACAAUGGGGUCCCCCCUGAUGCCGCGCCGCCGCGUGCGUGCAGAAGUACUUCGUUAUGUAAAGCUCUCUCAGCAGGGCCGCACAUGACGGUCCCUGCGUAAGAAGCCCCGGCUAACUACGUGCCCGCAGCCGCGGUCCUACGUAGGGGGCACGCGUUAUCCGGAUUUACUGGGGGUCAAGGGAGCGUAGACGGCAGUGCAAGUCUGGAGUGAAAGGCGGGGGCUCAACCCCCGGACUGCUCGUGAAACUGGACGGCGGGAGGGCAGGAGAGGUAAGGGGAAGUCCUAGUGGAGCGGUGAAAUGCGGAGAGAUUAGGAGGAACACCAGUGGCGAAGGCGGCUUAUUGGACGGGAACUGACGGGGAGGCGCGAAAGCGGGGGGAGCAACCAGGAGGAGAGACCCCAGGACC